CAGCAGCCGCGGGUAAAACGAAGGGUGCAAGCGUUAAUCGGAAUUACUGGGCGUAAAGCGUGCGUAGGCGGUGAGUUAAGUCUGCUGUGAAAUCCCCGGGCUCAACCUGGGAAUGGCAGUGGAUACUGGCUCGCUAGAGUGUGUCAGAGGAUGGUGGAAUUCCCGGUGUAGCGGUGAAACGCGUAGAGAUCGGGAGGAACAUCAGUGGCGAAGGCGGCCAUCUGGGACAACACUGACGCUGAGGCACGGAAGCGUGGGGAGCAAACAGGAUUAGAUACCCCUGUAGUCCCUGUCUCUUAUU
This 301-nucleotide ribosomal RNA is filed under the name uncultured bacterium. RNAcentral's name for it is "partial 16S ribosomal RNA". It matches the Rfam family "Bacterial small subunit ribosomal RNA", at positions 509 to 808 of the family's 1533-position model. The record is from RNAcentral.